Molecule: non-coding RNA, 3470 nt
Organism: Solanum lycopersicum (tomato)
Lineage: Eukaryota; Viridiplantae; Streptophyta; Magnoliopsida; Solanales; Solanaceae
Source: Rfam
AAUCAAAAAGAAUGCAUUGGAUGGAUGUCGGGGUAUUGGGAAGGAAGGACGCUUUCAGAGGAAAAAUUCCAUGGGGAGAUACCGUCUGUGAUCAAUGGAUCUCAGAUUGGGAAACCGUAUCCAAGCUCCGUGGCUAGUCUCCUCUCUUUGGACUUUUAGAACUUAGCAAACUGAAACAUCUUAGUAGCUAAAGGAAGGGGAAUUAAUUGAGACCCCGUUAGUAGCGCUCAGCGAGAGCGAAUUGGGGUUUGAAGAAAAACAAACACGAAGCAUUGUUCCUCUCCUUUUACGCAAGCUACUAUGUUCCUCAGCAAAGUGUUCACGUUUUUUUUUGCUAGGUUUCAUUCGAUUUGUUGUGGAUUGGAUGAUGGAAAAACUAGCAAGCUACGGCUUCAAAUCUUACCUUAUUUAGAAAAGGAGAAAGGGCUUUUUUUAUAUAUGUUGAGGUUGAGUAAGGGGGCGGAGCUUGAAGAGCUUAGCGAGCCGCGCUAGCCUAGCAACAUUUUUCAGCAGCAAGCUACAGUCUAACGACCCCCUACCUAGGUUGGGGCAAAAACUCCAAAAUCCAAAACAUUGGUUUUUCUUCCUCUCCUUUAUGUCGAGUGACUUCGUACCUCUCCUUUUAGGCGAGCUACUUCAUUCCAAACCUUUCUCUAAUAAUAAGGUAAGCUUGAAAGACGCUGCCCUUUAAAUUUAAAGGAGCGAGCACAGUGAACUAUAAUUGUGAAAAUAUUGGAAGAUCUGACCAAAGAAGGUGACAUCCCUGUAGAUUCAUUUUCAUGGUUCAAUCCUUCCCAGUAAAAUGUGACGUGUUCAAAUUCUAAUCGCUUUUUACGCGAGAAAGGGGGACCACCCUCUAAGCUUAAGUAUUCCUCAAUGACCGAUAGAGUACAAGUUCCAUGAGGGAAAGAUGAAAAGAACCCUAUUUAGGGAGUGCAAUAGAGAACCUGAGAUCCGAUGUGAAUAAUAAGUCCAAAGAGCAUAGCUUAGAGCCUUUACUUUAUAUAAAGCGCACUCACUCUAACGGCGUACCUUUUGCAUGAUGGGUCAGUGAGUAAAUGGGAACAACGGCUUAAGCCACUAGGUGUAGGCGCUUUCCAAAGGUGGAAUCUUUGAGUUCUUCCAAUUUGACCCGAAACCAACCGAUCUAGCCAUAAGCAGGUUGAAAAGAUCUAUAACAAGCCUUGGAGGACCGAACCCACGUAUGUGGGAAAAUACGUAGAUGACUUAUGGCUAGGGGUGAAAGGCCAACCAAGAUCGAAUACAGCUGGUUUUUCGCAAAAUCUAUUUCAGUAGAGCGUAUGAUGUUGAUGGCCCGAGGUAGAGUACUCAAUUGGCUAGUGUGGCCUUAUUUCUCCUUACCAACCCUAGGGAAACGCCGAAUACAGGCCUAGAUCGUUUGUACAGAUAGACUUUUUGGGUUCUAAGAUCCAAAAUCGAGAGGAAAACAGCCAAGAUCGUACGCUAUGUCCCUAAAUAAUCAUUUAGUGGAAAAGGAAGUGAUCGAGCAAUGACAACCACGAUGUGGCCAUCCUUUGAAGAAAGCGUAAUAUCUCACUAGUGAAGCCCAAUGGCAUCGAAAAUGUAUCAGAGCUCACGUGAUUCACUAAAGCGAUAAGACUUUGAAAGUUGAUCUUUCAAGUGUCAGUAGAGGAACAUUCUGUCAAUUGGGGAAGGUUUUUGGGGACAAGACCUUGAUAUAUCCUAAGUGAGAAUGCUGACAUGAGUAACAAGAAAUCCUGCGAAAAACACGAUUGCCUGCUAGUGGAAGGUUUUCUGCGUUAAUUCAAUCUACAUAGAGUGAAUUGGUCCCUAAGAAACCCCCGAAAGGGCUGUCGUCCAAUGGGUACACGAAAGUUACGAAGUUGCUUUGACUACAGAAUAUUGCCUGUCUAUUGGAGCAAAUUGGAUGAUCGGGCCAAGGGCUGCCCCCUCUUCCCCUCACUCUCAUUUCCCUAUUAUGAACCUUGAGUCAUCAAAGCCUUUCUAACUCGGCCUGGCCCGGUCGACCUACGCGACUGGCGCUUCAAAAGGAGAAACUCUUGAUCUUAGUUUAGAGACCUAUCUUCAGAAGGGGCCUUUACUCUUUUGAUUAGCGUAGGGGUCGCGAGAGAGCAGAGUGUACUGCCCUACCAUAGUCACGAGUCUGUUUAUAGUCAUGACACUUGUCAUAGUCAAAGAGGUUGAAACUUUCAAGAAAAAACUUUUAAUUAGGAGGGCGAUCCUCCCGGUGAAUUGACCAUACCCAAAACCAACACAGGUGAACAAGUAGAGUAUACUAGGGUGCUUGAGAGAACCAUGUUGAAGGAACUCGGCAAAAUGACCCCGUAAAUUCAGGAGAAGGGGUGCUCUCCUUUCUUUUGAUUAGGAAAGCGGCACAUACCAUGGGGUAGCGAAUAUUUGUUAAAAACUUAGGUCUUUGCUAAGUUGUAACACGAUGUAUAGAGUAUAACACAUGUCGGUGCUGGAAGGUGAGAAGGAGAAGUGUUAUAAGCAUUGAAUGGAAAUCCCAGUAAACUGCGGCAAUAACUCUAAAUGUCCUAAGGUAGUUAAAUUCCUUGUCGCAUAAGUAGAGACCUGCACAAAUGUGUAACUACUGUCGCGCUGUCUCCAACAUGGACCCGGUGAAAUUGAAUUCUCCGUGAAGAUGCGGAGUACCAACAGCUAGGCGGUAAGACCCCGUGCACCUUAACUAUAGAUUCGAGUGACAACCUUAAUUGAAUGAGUAAGAUAGGUGGGAAGUGGUGACACACAACGAUAAACCCUGAAAGACCACUCUUUCGUCUAAGGAUUCCUAACCGCCACACCGAUCAUUGGGGGGAGGCAGGACACUGCGAGGUAGGUAGUUUAUCUUGAGCGGAUGCCUCUUAAAGAGUAACAGAGGUAUGCAAAGGUAGGUAAACAUAAUAUUCUGCUCAUGAGUGUAAUUGUAUAAGCCUACUAACUGUGAGACCGACUGGUCGAACAAAUAUGAAAGUUGUCCAUUCUGAUCCAAGAGUCCCGUGUGGAAGGGAUCUCGCUAAAUUGAUCAAAUGUACGCCAGGGAUAACAGGCUGAUGAAUCCUAAGAUCCUUUAUCCACGGAGUCGUUUAGCACCUCGAUGUCGACUCAUCACAUCAUGUGGUUGAAGAAAGUCCCAAGAGUUCAGUUGUUUGCCGAUUUAAGUGGUACGUGAGUUGGUUUUAGAACAUCGUGAGAUAGUUUGGUUCCUAUCUACCGUUGGUGUUAAAGGGAGAACUGUGAGUAGCCAACCCUAGUACGAGCGGACUGGGUUGUGUUAACCUAUCGUGUAUUGGUUGUUAUGCCAAUAGCAAUGCUGGGUACCUAAGUUGGUAUAGAAGAAUUAUUGCGCCGCGGGAAAUCCUUCUCUAUACAAGUUCUUGGAUGAGGUCUUUGAACAGAACUUCGAUAGGCGAGAGGUGUAAGCUCCCCGAGGUGUGAAGCGAUCUCGUACUAAACGAAAUGACUUU